This is a long non-coding RNA of Rosa rugosa (rugosa rose), 1230 nucleotides long. RefSeq lists it as uncharacterized. The record is from RefSeq and is a predicted model, not a curated record. The transcript is spliced from 2 exons. NCBI's taxonomy places the organism in Eukaryota, Viridiplantae, Streptophyta, Magnoliopsida, Rosales, Rosaceae.
CCUUCAAAAAUUCGCAGCCUUCUUCAAUUCUUCUGCAACCCCGACCCUUUCCCAAACUCAACCCCGACCUGCAGCCUUCGUUUCAGAAACCCAGCAUCCUAGCAGCUCGAACCCAGCAAUCGAUUCCUAGAUUUUCCCUUAGCCCUCAAGCACAAAGUCCUAGCAUUCGCGAUUUAGAAUACCGAUUUCCCGAUUUCCAGAAACCCAGUAAUCGGUAGCAUCUGCAGCCUUCGAGUUCUUCGAUUCCUGGCCUUCUUCAAUUACUAACUCGAUUCCUUAGCCCUCAAUCGAUUCAUAGCUUUCCCGAUUUCCAGAAACCCAGCAAUCCCUAGCCCUCAAUCCAUUCAUAGCUUACCCGCUUUCGAAUUCGAACAAGUACCUAGCUUUCCCAAUUUCCCGAUUUCCAGAAACCCAGCAAUCCCUAGCCUUCAAUACCUUCUGGCCUUAUUCGAUUACUAACUCAGUCGACAACUUCUCUGGUUGUUGGCAACCUCUGCUAUUAAAGGUUGAUGUUAAAGGUUUAGAUGAGAUUGGGGUGGAGGUCAUAACUCGUUGAGCAAGGAUCGUAUCAUUGCUCGUCUCCAACAACCAUAUUCACUUGAUUGUAUUCCAGUGGAAGCAGAGUAUCAGGUAAAUUGCUCAUAUCUCUUAUGUUUGAUUAAAAUUUCUAUCUUCAUUUGAAGUUUCGAACUGCGAAUUUAUAUGUCUUUACCUGUAUUGUACAUCCUUCACUACGAUUAUACAGGAUCAAUCUUAUUUAUUUGGUCCAGUCUAAACAGCCUUUGUUCAAAAUCCUUCUUUAUAGGGUAUUUUCAUCAAAUUCACUGUUCUAAUAAAUCAAUUAUAUGUCAUAACUCUAGUCAUGAAAUAUAUGAACAAUAUUUAUUUAGCUUUUGAGAAAUAUCAAUCUUUGAAAACAGUUAAAGGUUAAUUUCCUGACAAUGAAGAUGAUUUUGUUGGAAAUCUCAUUAUGUUGAAGAAGACUUUUCUUAAUGCUUCUUUUGGAACCAUGAAAAGGUUAAGUCAUGAGUUUACCAUAAUAUUGCUUUCAGUAUCUUGGUUGAUUCCAAUUCUGUGUUUCUGGGUACAAGGAUUCGAUUUUGAUAAUGCCCGAAGCAGCUGCAGUUAUUGGGGACGAGUUGGUUGUAUUUAAAGUUUUAAACGUUGAAAUUUCAUUUGUUUGUACUUUGUAACUUUGAAGAAGCUAUGAAAGUUGGAUGCUAUUGCUUA